GGCAUUGGUAGAAGCCAGCCCUGAAAAGGCUGGCGUCGGCGGUUCGAUUCCGUCCCUGGCCC
RNAcentral lists this transfer RNA (62 nucleotides) under Acidobacteriota bacterium. RNAcentral describes it as "Acidobacteria bacterium tRNA-Ser". The record is from RNAcentral. Lineage: Bacteria; Pseudomonadati; Acidobacteriota.